GAGCUAACUGAAAUCAUAGAAUUUUUUAAAAUUCAUGAUGUCGUAAGGGAAAAUAAUGAUAAUACCUUACUAUGAGUCUGGUCCAAAUCUGGUGCCAGAAGACUCGGUAAGAGACCAGAGACGCAAACGUUAAUCAUCAUAAACAGGCGUAAAGGGUUUGUAGGCAGCUUUCACCAAACUAUAUUACAAAAUAAAGUAGUUUAAUUGAAAGCUAGAAUCAAAAGAGGUUAUAGUGUAUAACGCCUAGCGGAGGGCUGCUAUCCAUAGAUCCUAGGCAGAAUACUCAGGGCGAAGGCCACUCUCCACUACUGAUUGACGCUGAGAAACGAAGGUUAGGGUAGGAAAUAGGAUUAGAUACCCCGGUACUCCUUUCUGUAAACGAUGAAUGGUAGUCAUUAGUUUUAUAACUAGAGACGAAGUUAACACAAUAACCAUUCCGCCUUGUGAGUACUACUGCAAAGUAGAAAACAAAAAAAUUAGUCGGUCUCGAAGCAAACGGAGUGAA
This 505-nucleotide ribosomal RNA is filed under the name Metacampanella tricolor. RNAcentral's name for it is "SSU rRNA". It matches the Rfam family "Bacterial small subunit ribosomal RNA", at positions 401 to 938 of the family's 1533-position model. Lineage: Eukaryota; Fungi; Basidiomycota; Agaricomycetes; Agaricales; Campanellaceae. The record is from RNAcentral.